UGAGGCAACACAGAAUUGGGCCCUCCGGAUGCCCCGCCAUCUCAGGCCAAGUUGCAGAAAGCAAAGAUGAUCCAUUCCCAUUGAGUCCUGCCCAAAUUGCAGCUUUAUGAGAACAAAUAAAUGAUGGUUUUGUUUUUAA
This is a long non-coding RNA of Herpailurus yagouaroundi (jaguarundi), 139 nucleotides long. RefSeq lists it as uncharacterized. The transcript has 3 exons. The record is from RefSeq and is a predicted model, not a curated record. Lineage: Eukaryota; Metazoa; Chordata; Mammalia; Carnivora; Felidae.